AACGACCAUACCACGCUGAAUACACCGGUUCUCGUCCGAUCACCGAAGUUAAGCAACGUCGGGCCCGGUCAGUACUUAGAUGGGGGACCGCUUA
RNAcentral lists this ribosomal RNA (94 nucleotides) under Ronderosia bergii. Lineage: Eukaryota; Metazoa; Arthropoda; Insecta; Orthoptera; Acrididae. The record is from RNAcentral.